UUGCCUUCUUUGUCCAGUCAGUUCUUCAGAAUCUCGUCCUCAGCACGAAAAGCAGCGUCGACACUGGGCGUCUGUGGAAGCUUCAGGAACAAAAAGGAGAGCGCUCGUGGAGAGGCGGAGCCGGGAGCAGCUUGUCUGCGCCUGCGCGGAAGGCUGACAGGGCGGGAAGCUCAGGGAGAGAAGCUCACAAGCGGGAAGCCCGCAGGGCGGGGCAGGAGAAGGUUGCCUAGUUCUGUUCAAGGCGGUCAUGGGUCACAAAGUAGGCCUUGUGGAGUAGCCUAACCCUAAGUCAUAAUGCCUGUGUCACUUAUUUUAAUUCAUCUCAUCGCGUAGGCAUUGUAUCAUCUCAUAUCACCGCACAACAGCGACUAUUUUUUAAUUGGCUAGAAGAAAACAGUCCAUUCCCUCAACAAUUUGAGAAUCUUCUCAGGAUCCUGAGCCAAACUCAAAAUGGAAAUCUUACACACUCUACAAACUGUUAUUUUAAAUACCUUGAAAAUAUUUAUUCUGUAUAUCCCACCAAGAAUACAAAUUGAAAAGAACAAUUGCAGACACAAAUAAAUUAA
Fukomys damarensis (Damara mole-rat) is the source of this 566-nucleotide long non-coding RNA. RefSeq lists it as uncharacterized. The transcript has 3 exons. Lineage: Eukaryota; Metazoa; Chordata; Mammalia; Rodentia; Bathyergidae. The record is from RefSeq and is a predicted model, not a curated record.